This 253-nucleotide ribosomal RNA is filed under the name uncultured bacterium. RNAcentral describes it as "partial 16S ribosomal RNA". It matches the Rfam family "Bacterial small subunit ribosomal RNA", at positions 524 to 776 of the family's 1533-position model. The record is from RNAcentral.
UACGGAGGGUGCGAGCGUUGUCCGGAAUCACUGGGCGUAAAGGGCGCGUAGGUGGCGCGAUUAGUCAACGGUGAAAGCCCGGGGCUCAACCCCGGGUCGGCCGUCGAUACUCUCGUGCUUGAGCACUGUAGAGGCAGGUGGAAUUCCGGGUGUAGCGGUGGAAUGCGUAGAGAUCCGGAAGAACACCGGUGGCGAAGGCGGCCUGCUGGGCAGUAGCUGACACUGAGGCGCGACAGCGUGGGGAGCAAACAGG